GUAGGUGGCAAGCGUUGUCCGGAAUUAUGGGCGUAAAGCGCGCGCAGGCGGGGUCUUUAAGUCUGAUGUGUAAAGCCCACGGGCUCAACCGUGGACGGGUCAUUGGAAAACUGGAGAAACUUGAGUACAGAAGAGGAAAGCGGAAUUCCACGUGUAGCGGUGAAAUGCGUAGAGAUGUGGAGGAACACCAGUGGCGAAGGCGGCUUUCUGGUCUGUAACUGACGCUGAGGCGCGAAAGCGUGGGGAGCAAACAGGAUUAGAUACCCUGGUAGUCCACGCCGUAAACGAUGAGUGCUAAGUGUUAGGGGGUUUCCGCCCCUUAGUGCUGCAGCUAACGCAUUAAGCACUCCGCCUGGGGAGUACGGCCACAAGGCUG
This 376-nucleotide ribosomal RNA is filed under the name uncultured organism. RNAcentral describes it as "partial 16S ribosomal RNA". It matches the Rfam family "Bacterial small subunit ribosomal RNA", at positions 527 to 896 of the family's 1533-position model. The record is from RNAcentral.